UUUCCGUAGGUGAACCUGCGGAAGGAUCAUUCAUAAUAAAGUGUUUUUUGGCACUUUUUAAAAAUCCAUAUCCACCUUGUGUGCAAUGUUAGAUCUCGUCAAUCUUGGCGAGAUUUUUAUACAUCAACUCAUUCUUUAACUAAUUUGUCUGAAAAAUAUUAUGAAUACUUAAUUCAAAAUACAACUUUCAACAACGGAUCUCUUGGCUCUC
Molecule: unclassified non-coding RNA, 211 nt
Filed under: plant metagenome
Description: partial contains small subunit ribosomal RNA, internal transcribed spacer 1, and 5.8S ribosomal RNA
Source: RNAcentral